Chiloscyllium plagiosum (whitespotted bambooshark) is the source of this 308-nucleotide non-coding RNA. The record is from RefSeq and is a predicted model, not a curated record. NCBI's taxonomy places the organism in Eukaryota, Metazoa, Chordata, Chondrichthyes, Orectolobiformes, Hemiscylliidae.
AAGAUGUGCUUCAGGAUCCUGCAGAUGUCCUGAUGUAUUGAUUCUAAAGAAAUUUCCUGGGAGAUCCGAACUUCCGAUGUGCAUUUCUCCAGUUCCAAUUAAAACCCCGAUGAAGAUGAGAACAUCGAUGAAUGAGGAUUUGGAAGAGUUUUCCACAUGAGGCUGCUGAAUAGCAAUUCUGAAUUGGUUACACAACAUAAUGAAGUACGCAAGAUCAGAAAAGCUUCCACUGAACAGACAACAGCAGUAUCUUUGACAUGGAUGGGGAGGCGAUGGCUCAGUGACAUUAUUGCUGGACUGUUAAUCCA